AGUGGGGAAUAUUGCGCAAUGGGCGAAAGCCUGACGCAGCGACACCGCGUGGGGGAUGAAGGUCUUCGGAUCGUAAACUCCUGUUAAGUGGGAAGAAAGACCCGUUUCUAAUACAAACGGGCAAUGACUGUACCAUUAGAGAAAGCACCGGCUAACUUCGUGCCAGCAGCCGCGGUAAUACGAGGGGUGCAAGCGUUAUUCGGAAUCAUUGGGCGUAAAGGGUGUGUAGACGGUGUGCUAAGUCUGUUGUUAAAUUUUCCGGCCUAACCGGAAAUCUGCGGUGGAAACUAGUACGCUAGAGGAUGGAAGAGAGAAGUGGAAUUCUCGGAGUAGCGGUAAAAUGCGUAGAUCUCGAGAGGAACACCGAUGGCGAAGGCAGCUUCUUGGUCCAUUCCUGACGUUGAAACACGAAAGCGUGGGGAGCAAACAGGAUUAGAUACCCUGGUAGUCCACGCCGUAAACGAUAAUCACUAGACGUUAGCCUUGUUUACAGGGUUAGUGUCGUAGCUAACGCGUUAAGUGAUUCGCCUGGGGAGUACGGUCGCAAGAUUAAAACUCAAAGGAAUUGACGGGGGUCCGCACAAGCGGUGGAACAUGUGGUUUAAUUCGACACUACGCGAGAAACCUUACCUAGGCUUGACAUGUGCUUGACAGCUGUAGAAAUACAGUCUUUUGGGCUUCGGUCCAGACAGGUGCACAGGUGCUGCAUGGCUGUCGUCAGCUCGUGUCGUGAGAUGUUGGGUUAAGUCCUUUAACGAGCGCAACUCUUGCCGUCAGUUGCUAAUUUUAAGUAAAGCACUCUGGCGGGACUGCCUGGGAAACCAGGAGGAAGGUGGGAAUGACGUCAAGUCAUCAUGGCCCUUAUGCCUAGGGCUACACACGUGUUACAAUGGCCAGUACAAAGGGCUGCAAACCUGCAAGGGCAAGCGAAUCCCAUAAAGCUGGUCUAAGUUCGGAUUGGGAUCUGCAACUCGAUCCCAUGAAGUUGAAAUCGCUAGUAAUCGCGUAUCAUAACGACGCGGUGAAUACGUUCUCGGACCUUGUACACACCGCCCGUCAAACCACGAAAGCUUUUUGUACCCGAAACUGCUUUAGCUAACCCGUAAGGGAGGCGAGUACCUAAGGUAUGGAGGGUGAUUGGGGUU
RNAcentral lists this ribosomal RNA (1145 nucleotides) under uncultured bacterium. RNAcentral describes it as "bacterial SSU rRNA". It matches the Rfam family "Bacterial small subunit ribosomal RNA", at positions 353 to 1482 of the family's 1533-position model. The record is from RNAcentral.